GGGUUGUGAGGUUAAGCGACUAAGCGUACACGGUGGAUGCCCUGGCAGUCAGAGGCGAUGAAGGACGUGCUAAUCUGCGAUAAGCGCCGGUAAGGUGAUAUGAACCGUUAUAACCGGCGAUUUCCGAAUGGGGAAACCCAGUGUGAUUCGUCACACUAUCAUUAACUGAAUCCAUAGGUUAAUGAGGCGAACCGGGGGAACUGAAACAUCUAAGUACCCCGAGGAAAAGAAAUCAACCGAGAUUCCCCCAGUAGCGGCGAGCGAACGGGGAGGAGCCCAGAGCCUGAAUCAGCAUGUGUGUUAGUGGAAGCGUCUGGAAAGGCGCGCGAUACAGGGUGACAGCCCCGUACACAAAAGCGCAUAUGCUGUGAGCUCGAUGAGUAGGGCGGGACACGUGGUAUCCUGUCUGAAUAUGGGGGGACCAUCCUCCAAGGCUAAAUACUCCUGACUGACCGAUAGUGAACCAGUACCGUGAGGGAAAGGCGAAAAGAACCCCGGCGAGGGGAGUGAAAAAGAACCUGAAACCGUGUACGUACAAGCAGUGGGAGCCCCACCACUAAGCCAGUGGUGAACUCCACAUACGCAUCCUUUGCUGAGGAUGCGGUUAACGGAGCGAAAGCGACGUUCAACCGCAAAAGAAGCAGAGGGGGCUUAGUGGUGG
This 661-nucleotide ribosomal RNA is filed under the name Salmonella enterica subsp. enterica serovar Javiana. Its description in RNAcentral is "partial 23S ribosomal RNA". It matches the Rfam family "Bacterial large subunit ribosomal RNA", at positions 1 to 677 of the family's 2925-position model. The record is from RNAcentral. Lineage: Bacteria; Pseudomonadati; Pseudomonadota; Gammaproteobacteria; Enterobacterales; Enterobacteriaceae.